Siniperca chuatsi (mandarin fish) is the source of this 265-nucleotide long non-coding RNA. RefSeq lists it as uncharacterized. The record is from RefSeq and is a predicted model, not a curated record. NCBI's taxonomy places the organism in Eukaryota, Metazoa, Chordata, Actinopteri, Centrarchiformes, Sinipercidae. The transcript has 3 exons.
CUUUGGUCCAGACUGAAAUAUCUCAACAAGUAUUGGAUGGGUUGCCUUGAAAUGUGGCUCAGGAUGAAUUAUAGUCAAGUGAUGAUAACAACUGAGCCAACUCCAUCUGCUGAUGAAGACCAUGAGAUUUGGCAGAAAGCCCCAGAGCUGGAGAACAACGCAGGCUACACACGCUUACUGAUGUACAGUGUAUGCUACCAUACACACUCUCUCUCUCUUUAUCAAGUCCAGUAGUCCCAAUAGCUCUCUCUCUCUCUCUCUCUCU